CUUCUUCUCCACAGGCAGCGCCAGGUGAAUUCACUCUGCAAUCAAGUCUCCCAUAAAACCACUGGUUUCUCUCCUGCUCAUCGCCAGAUUGUUUCGUCAGUCAACAUGAUUGCUGUGCUCGUUGUACAGACUCGUGCUUUGUUUCCUCCCUGCUUGCCAGUGGACCUGCCUGCUACCAGCUUCCCUGUGCUCUCCAUCUGCACUGCCAUUGUCCUGCACGGACCUCACGUCACGACGCUCACAUCCACGCACUCACCGGUGACUUCGCCUACCAUGCCAGGACCCUGGGACUUCGCACACCCCUUCACUUGCACCUGUUUUUGCUCCUCCGUUGAACAUUAAAGAACUAUUGUUACACUGUUAACCAGAGUCGAGUCGUGCAUUUGGGUCCUAAUCCAACGCAAACCGUAACAGGGAGAGUCUGGAUUCUAAAUGUAGGUAUCUCCCCUUCCUGUUUCUGUUCUUGAUAUCUGUUUACAGAGUAACAGAAUGGUGUGAACAUUUUAACAGUUGUGGGCCAACUGGGCCAGCAAGGCUUGUUGCAUCAUCAGAAGAUACAUUUCAUUUUUAAUAUGUUUAUUUAUUAAUAAAUACAUCAAAUUAUUAAA
Molecule: long non-coding RNA, 608 nt
Organism: Acanthopagrus latus (yellowfin seabream)
Lineage: Eukaryota; Metazoa; Chordata; Actinopteri; Spariformes; Sparidae
Exons: 2
Source: RefSeq, a predicted model, not a curated record